AACAGGAACACUUUUACACUGUUGGUGGGACUGUAAACUAGUUCAACAACUUCUGUCAACACUGACCAAGGGAAAAAAAAAAAAAGGCUACUCAGGAGGCUAGGGUGGGAGGAUUCCUUGAGCCUGGGAGGCGGAGGUUGCAGUAAGCUGAGAUCAUGCCAUUGCUCUCCAGCCUGGGUGACAGGUGAAACCCUGUCUCAAAAAACAAAAAAAUUAUGAAUUAGUUGGGAAAGCCAUGACUGCUCUUCAUGUCACUGCCCAGCCAGUUUACAGCUCCAAGACCAAUGCAGCAGCCACAUGCGGUCGCACAUGUCUUUGGCCCUGAAGGAGCUUCACAUCCAGGGGAGGGUGCCGGAGUGUGAGAAAGCCAGAACCCAGGAACUAGCCCAGGAGCAAAGGGAUGCAGUGCAUCACCCAAUCUUCCUCCUUCAAGGAGGCUGCUCCUUCUGUGCUGCCUCUGCUGUAUGAAGUAGCUGGGAACAGUUUCCCACUUGACCUCAAGUAGUGAGGACCAGCUAUUGUCCCACUAGGAACAGCUUCCUUGGGCCCAGGGCAGGAGGUACUCACUAGACU
Molecule: long non-coding RNA, 573 nt
Filed under: Homo sapiens (human)
Lineage: Eukaryota; Metazoa; Chordata; Mammalia; Primates; Hominidae
Description: non-protein coding lnc-TMEM17-3:2
Source: RNAcentral